RNAcentral lists this ribosomal RNA (497 nucleotides) under uncultured bacterium. RNAcentral describes it as "partial 16S ribosomal RNA". It matches the Rfam family "Bacterial small subunit ribosomal RNA", at positions 28 to 507 of the family's 1533-position model. The record is from RNAcentral.
GAUGAACGCUGGCGGCAUGCCUAAUACAUGCAAGUCGAGCGAACAGACGAGGAGCUUGCUCCUCUGACGUUAGCGGCGGACGGGUGAGUAACACGUGGAUAACCUACCUAUAAGACUGGGAUAACUUCGGGAAACCGGAGCUAAUACCGGAUAACAUGUUGAACCGCAUGGUUCAACAGUGAAAGACGGUCUUGCUGUCACUUAUAGAUGGAUCCGCGCCGCAUUAGCUAGUUGGUAAGGUAACGGCUUACCAAGGCAACGAUGCGUAGCCGACCUGAGAGGGUGAUCGGCCACACUGGAACUGAGACACGGUCCAGACUCCUACGGGAGGCAGCAGUAGGGAAUCUUCCGCAAAGGGCGAAAGCCUGACGGAGCAACGCCGCGUGAGUGAAGAAGGUCUUCGGAUCGUAAAACUCUGUUAUUAGGGAAGAACAAAUGUGUAAGUAACUAUGCACGUCUUGACGGUACCUAAUCAGAAAGCCACGGCUAACUACGUG